Molecule: non-coding RNA, 3525 nt
Organism: Microcebus murinus (gray mouse lemur)
Lineage: Eukaryota; Metazoa; Chordata; Mammalia; Primates; Cheirogaleidae
Source: RefSeq, a predicted model, not a curated record
UCUAGCCUGGGCAAGAGAGUUAGACUCUGUCUCAAAUAAAAAAAAAAGAAAAGGAAGUUUCUUUUUCAUAAUCGAAAAGCACUCAUUGAGCAGUUAAUAAUGUUCUAUGGGUUAAAAACCAAUAAUAUUGCUUAGAUUUGAGUUCUAGCCUCUGAUUCAUCAUGUGGAGAUGGUAAAAUAAAAAUUUCAAGUUGUGUCUGAUUUGUUAGAGAGAUAAAUGUGUAAAAAUCAUCUUAGUGAUAUAAAGCUGUCGAAACAGUGAUUUAAGAUUUCACUAUUUCUCCUUCCUAUUCUGCCUUCCAGGUUCUUUUGAAGUGAGUGGAGCCCAAGUCAUGGAACGAAUGAAUCAGUGAUGGACACAUGCAUGUAUAUGUGUGCAGACAGACAUACACAUGCUACCUUCUAUGACGCCCAGGUCAUAGAAGGUCAAUGCGAAUGACAGGAACAUGUUUGUCUUGGCCCCGAAGUAGGCAAUGAUAAUCAACACACGAAACCUAAUGUUGAGAAGGGAUUUAGGAAAAACAAAGUAAUUAAGGCAUUAGGAUAAGCAUUUAGACAUUUCAGUUUACCUGUUUCGGUCUAUCAGUGUGAGGAUUGGGAUGUGGAGUUUCAUUUUCCUACUGCUGUACAUUUGCACGUCCUCAUUGGCAUGGACAGCAGCACCUGUGCUCAGAGAGAACGAAGACAUGAACAUGCUGACAUUUUAAAAUCAGCAUUAGGAGCACCAUUCAGAAAGAGAUAUAGUUUAGUUAUGCAUAAGCUCAUGAAAUAGAGCUACAGAAAUAAGUUUUUAUCACAGUAUAAUGUGCAAUAUGUUUAUACUACAAAUUGUAAAACAAUUGUGAUUUUUAAUAAUAUCUAAUCAUUCAUAAUAUUCCUCCCACAGUUGCAUUCAAUCAAAGUAGUAUUAUCUGCUUUCUAUUUUAUCAAUUCUAUACACCACAACUUGUUAUAAUUUAACUCAGUUUCAGAAAUUAUAUUUUUCACAUCAAGAGAGACCUGUAUGUGUAAUUUUUCUCUGAGGAAAGAAAACUGAAUUUUUUAGAGCUGCCAGUUGUCCAAUUUUGAACCAGGCUGUCUGAUAUUUCAGCUUUUACACUGUAAGCAAAUUUGAGAAAAUUACAUAUUCUUAUGCCAAGUGUGUUCUAAUUAAGUAACCUUCCUUGGGAUAGUGCAUCACCUGGGCAUUCUCAGCCAUUCACUAAUCCCCUGUUGGUGUUCCUGGGUGACUGGCCAAGCCCGGUAUAACCUGAGUUUAAAUUCUCACUCACUGCUGGUCCCUACCAGGAAACAGGCAGUCCUGGGAGAGAGCAAUGUGUUCUCUUCCUCAAGCUGUGAUUCACUAGAGAAAUUUUUCCUUUUUCUAAUAGAUGGCAAGACUGUUUUGUGGUAAAGAAUGAGUGAUAAUUUUGUUAAAAAAAAAAAAAAAAGACAAGUUGCAUAAAUCUUUCAUUUUUUGGCCAGAAGUUUAACAGGUUUUCUUUAAUUAAAAAAAAUUAAUGUUCUUUUUAGUAUUUUCUUAUGAAUGUCAAAUAUCUGCCGGUGCUGGUUAAAUUAGAGGUGCACGUAGCUCUGCUCCUGGGCUUCUGUGCCAAAGAUUCACACCUCACUGCACAGGGAAGCAGUGCGAGGCGUUUUGUGGUGUUAUUCCCGGGGAUGGGGAGUGGAGAAGAGGUGGCUGUCUGUCUCAGGGUGAGUGGACUGGUGACGUGGUGCUCCGUGGCACUGAGGAGCAGUAAGUGAGCUGCGUACGUGGCAAUAAGGUAAUUGGAAAAGCAUGGGGCCGAGUUUAAAACAUAAACAGAAUAUGCAGCACAAUUCCUUUUAGGUAAAUUAAAAUGCCAUCAAUACCAACAUUGUUUCUUUUAAACACAUUAGAAUGGCUGCCUAUGGGGCAAGGUAAAUGCGGGUGAUACUGAGGUAUAGAAGGGAGAAGCCCAUAAAUCUACACAUCCAUAGAACCAGAGACAAGCUCACAUGGGCCAGUGAUGACUGUAUGGUAUAAAGAGGACACCUAACUUCUGAACCUCAGGCUGGAAAAACUCAAACCAUGCAUGAAGGCAGAAGGCACAGAGUGAAACAUGCACCUGUCUUAUUUUGCACACUGGCCUAAUUCCAGUUUCUAGAGGUAGCAACUGUUAGCAGUUUGAAACCAUUUGUUGUGCAGUGUUCCAGACCUGUCUCUGUGCAUGUACAAAGUCUGAUUUUGGUUUUAUGAAACUGAGAUGCUAUGCCUAUGGCUCUGCACUUUGCUUUUUUCACUUACACACAAUUUCGUAUCCAUCCAUCAAUCAUCUCUAUCAUCCAUCUAUCUAGCAUCUGUUUAUUAUUCAUAUUGAUAUCAUCUAUCAAUCAUCUAUCAAUAUCUCCAUCAUCCACCAGUCUAUCUUCUAUCUAUAAUUGUCCUCCCAUGCCUAUACAUGUGGAUGAACUUCUUCGCUACUUCUUUCUCUUACACCUUCUUCCUUCAUUUUUUCUUUUUUGGAUUCUAUUUAUUGAUAACAGGAAACCAAUUUGAAAUAUGAGAAAAUUUGGCCAACUCCAUUUCUCACAUUUCCUAUUUUUGCCUUCCAAUUUUGUUAGUAGUGCUAUUGUUUUUACCAUGCCGAUGUUUGUAGCAUUUACCUUCCCUUCCAAACGUGGCUGAUGUGGUUCCUUAGCCUUACCUGGGUCCUUGGCCGACUCCUUGCACACUUGCGGCUGUGGCCCAGCACACUUCUUCAGCACUGUCUUCUGGCCUUGACUGUUGCUAUGGAAACUGCUGAGUCAGCCUGCAUUUUCUCCCUUGCCUGAGACUUGCUCCUUCUGCCUGAAUCGUAGCAGGAUUCUUUCAUUUCCCUCAGAGAUAAAUAACUUCACCACGGAAUGUCUAAAUGUCGAUCAGCCUUUAUGUUUUGCUCAAGGCUGCCCAUGUCACAGACUCAGAUUUCAGCAGCACAAAUUCUACACUCAUUGCUUCUAACACGGCCUUAGUUUCUGUCAUGACGGGGGCACCCUGGAUCCGGAAGCCUGCUGUUGGAAUCUGGAGAAAUUCAUGGGAAGUUUGAUGGUGGCAAGGAGAGAAAAGUUCUGUGAGCCGUCAUUGGGCACUGCUGGCAUCCUUGGAGGCGCUCACCGUGAGGAAGCCAGGACAAGUGAGACGUGCAGGAGCAGGGCAGCCUCCUGAGGUCCUGUCCCCGACGGAUCUCAGGGAGGGCAGAUCUGUUUGUCCGCUCAAGAGCCAGACUUCCUCCUCCUUUGUUAGCAGAAGCCAAAUGUUAUGGUGAUGGUAGUGUGCCUGCCACCACGGUGUAAGUUGUGACUGCUCUGUGCUGGCAGCUCUGUUUCUCUUUGCCAGCCAUGGGUGGGCGUUGACCCAGUCCUGCUACUGAGAUCUAACCAAAGGUUGGUUGGAAGAAAGAUUUUUCUCUGAGAUUUAAAGCUGCUUGAGGAGAAGCCAUUUGACUCCUACUAUCUGACUAUUUUUUUUUAUUCCAGCAUAAUAUGGGAGUACAAAUGACGAAUGUUUAGGGUGCAUAUAUUGCC